This is an RNA transcript of Varroa destructor (honeybee mite), 2223 nucleotides long. It is a transcript of the gene named acid phosphatase type 7-like, with no coding region annotated. The record is from RefSeq and is a predicted model, not a curated record. NCBI's taxonomy places the organism in Eukaryota, Metazoa, Arthropoda, Arachnida, Mesostigmata, Varroidae.
CUGGCGAAAGGAUUGAAUGUAUUGCUUAUUCCAGCAGCGGUUAGUAAAGACGUCUCGAUCGCUUUUUUCGAGUGUCAAGAGCAGCGCUAAGAAUCUCUCGCCUGAUUGCAAAUGGAGGGAAAAGAUGGGGCGGGAGCCGGACUCAAGUGGCUUAUCGAGGGACGAAACUCAUUGGACGAAUACUCGGCGAUAUAGUGUCUCCCAUGAGGAAUGGCUUGAAAUACGCAACAGCCCAUAAACCAUCGAACUGAAAACAUUUCAAAGUGAUUUUAAUAUUUAAACGAACAAAACCAACAUUGCUCUUCAAGCGUGAAUUUGUUCAGACUAGAUCAAAAUGUGGAUAUCGGCUGAAAUUUGCCCAGCUACCCCAUUCCGAAGAUACGCACGAGGUCAACUUAAACUGCCGUUUUUGCUUGCUAGAGUAGUUAUUAUCGGUUUACUAAAGUGCAUGAAUGUGUCUGGCCAACAUCUAGGUGAUAAUUACGACAAUGAGGACUAUUUGCAACCGGAGCAGAUUCAUCUCAGUCUCGGAGCGGACGAAACUGAGAUGACAGUAACUUGGCUAACCCUGAAUGCAACAAAUUUAACUGCAGUCGAAUUCGGACCAAAGUCGGGUUAUGGGGUACGAUUUACGCGACGAAUACUGGGCAGUAUGAGUUUGUUCACGGACGGCGGCAGUGAACGAAGGAACCUGUACAUCCACAGAGUUACAUUGAAGAAUCUUAAACCGGGGUUUGUUUACUACUAUCACUGCGGCGACCCGGAUUGGGGCUGGAGUGCCGUUUACUGGUUCCAAGCGACACGUAACGACGCAACUUUCGACCCGCGGUUCCUCAUAUAUGGUGAUAUGGGCAACAAAAAUGGGCGCGCGUUAUCCACGCUUCAAGAGGAAGUCCAAAAAACGCAAGUGGAUGCCGUAUUGCAUGUGGGAGACCUCGCAUACGAUCUGGCUGACGACAACGCUCGUCGCGGUGACCAGUUUAUGCGCCAGAUUGAAACUAUCGCGGCUUAUGUUCCAUACCAAGUUACUCCUGGUAAUCAUGAAUAUCACUACAAUUUCUCAAAUUAUGACGCUCGCUUCUCGAUGUACAACAAACAAGAGCGGCGUAUCAAUAAUCACUUUUACUCGUUCAAUAUUGGCCCAGUACAUAUCGUCUCAAUAUCUACCGAAUUUUACUACCUUCUUCAGUUUGGCUAUCGGCAGAUUAAAUCUCAGUACGACUGGUUGGUACGAGAUCUGACGGAAGCCAACAAACAGGAGAACAGAAUUCAGACACCCUGGAUUUUUCUCUUAGGCCACCGACCUAUGUAUUGCACUAAUGCUGGUAAUUCGGAAUGUGCUGACCUAAACAACAUUGUUAGGGCCGGAAUGCCCUUUAGUCGAGCAUUUGCUCUCGAGCCGCUUCUCAAGAAGUUUGGAGUAGACGUCAUGUGGGCUGGACAUCAGCACUCGUAUGAACGAAUAUGGCCUAUAUUUAACGGAACCGUAUUAAAUAGAACCAAAGAAGCCUACAACGAACCCCAGGGACCAGUUCACAUAAUUACGGGAUCGCCUGGCUGCGAAGAAGGCUUAAGCCCAUAUGGACCUGACCCUUUGAGCAUGAGUGCUUUCCAUACUGACCACGAUUACACGUUUAGCCGAGUCCAUAUAGUUGAUAAGUCACACAUCGAUAUCGAGCAGGUUUCCGUUCCAACUGGUGCCGUCGUCGACAAAAUCUCCAUCAAGAAGGCUUUGUCUUUCCCAAAGUGGCAAGAACCAGAUUUACCCCUGGAUACAGGCGUUUAUCGUAUUUAAAAAAUGACUUCAGAACCUUUUAUGAGAGCUACAGGAACGCGACUGCAAGCUAUUUAUAUGAAACAAGUGACAGUAAUCAGUUUUAUAAAAUAAAAGCCUUUUCAUGUUAAGAGGCCGCUUGCUGAUACGUCAAGCGUUUGAUACCCAAUGACGCUGAAUCUAUCAAUAAUUGUUAAAAUUUCUCUUUUUUCUUAUAUUGACGUUUGAAAUCAGUGCGUUUUGCUUAUACACUCCCUUAGCCUUUUAGUGCGUUAUAUCGAAAUUAAAUACCACAUACAUUCUGCGUAUAUUAUGAGUAGUGUAGUAUAUAUCUUGAAGAGCCUGACAUAUAAAGUUGAGUCUUUUAGAAAAAAUAAGCGAAAGAUUUAAUUAGGCCGGCCCAUUCCGCGAAAAAACUACGUCUGUCACAUGUUUUAUGUAUUUUAAUA